GGGUCUUUUCACUGCCUGCAAGUCUGUUAAAGUAUAUUAUCUUUUUGGUAGGGGGUAGUGGUUUAGCUAGGAAUUUUAGUUUGGAAAGGUCAAAUUAGAAAACAAUUUUAGGGGUAAAAUUUAAUUUUUUAUUUUAUUUUUAAAGCUAAAAAUAUAAUUUGUUAAUGGAGGGGGGUUAAAAAAAAUUUCCUUGCACGGCCUGCCAUUGCCAGUAGGGGUGAGCAAAAAAACCGAAAAACCGAUUUAACCGAGAAAACCAAAAAAAAAAUUAACCAAAAAAACCGAACCGGUACAAAAAACCGAUUGAACCGAUUAAAAUAUUUAGGAAAUGUCCGGUCCGGUUUUGGUGUGCCUGAACCGGCCAACCCGAACCGAACCGGUUCGAUUUAAAAAUGAAAAAAAUAAAAUAAAGUAACAAACCAAGCGCGGGCCACCCCUCCCUUCCAUUAGCCAACCCUAGCAGACCUUUAUCAUUUCUUUCCCUUGCACACAGCCGCCCUCUCCCUUGUUUAAGUCUUUGAAUGCUUUCACAUUGAAGGGUCCCUUCAUUCACAGCUUCAAUGCUCUCUUUGUCUCUUAUCUCUCAACGUGAAGGCAAAGUAAAGAUUACAGAGAUGAAUUGCUGAUGAUUCUUCCAUUGAUUUACUUGAUUCUCCUUCAUGGGUCACGGCUUUUAACAGAUCCCACCUUGAUUACCAGAGAGGAAUUAUUUCGGGUCUAGAAGCUGAAGAGUGUCCAGAAAAAUCCAAGUAGUGAUGGCUAAGAAUUGAUACUGUUUUUUUGUAAUUAUUUUUUCCUUUGCAAGAAGUUGUAACAACGAGAACAACAUUGUUGAUUCUUAGAGGAUGGCAUCUUGGCAUUGCAGUUCGGUUUGAACCGGUUUGGAAGGGAAAAAAACCGAACCGAACCGAACCGAAAUUAAUCGGUUUGAACCGGUUUUCAGUUCGGUUCGGUUCAAAAUCUAAAAAAAAAACGGUUUGGUUGUUUAUUUUGGUCCAAAACCGGACCGAACCGAAAAUACUCAGCCCUAAUUGCCAGCCCCAGCCCUUCUGAUUCUGCCCCUGGUGAUGGGGAUGGGAGUUCUUUAGUAUUCUAUGGUAAAAAAAACUAAUGAAAUAACAGUGUAACAAAUUAUUUUAAAAAAUAGUAAGGUUCAUAGAGUCAUAAAUGAUACAUGCGAUUCAUGAGUUGCAA
Populus nigra (black poplar) is the source of this 1194-nucleotide long non-coding RNA. RefSeq lists it as uncharacterized. Lineage: Eukaryota; Viridiplantae; Streptophyta; Magnoliopsida; Malpighiales; Salicaceae. The transcript has 2 exons. The record is from RefSeq and is a predicted model, not a curated record.